UGUAUACGCGUACUCAUUGCCCUAACUCUCAUAUUCUCUGAAUCUCUCUCUCAUUCUCUGAAUCAUCGUUUUCUCUGGUGGUGUUCGUGAAUCUCAGUGAAUCCCUCACUGAUUCUCUCUCGUCGUGAACUGUUCUUCGUUUUAGCCGUACAUCAAAAUCGCUCGUGAAUCUCACUGAAACCCUAACUCAGCAAUAUCUCUCCUGUUCGUGAACUGUUCUUCGUUUUCGCGAUUGAACGAAGUUUCUUUUCUGUUUGCGAUUGAACGAAGUUUUGUCCCGAUUUUUGAGAAAUAUGUUAAGAAUUGGAUUGCAAUUGCUGCACCAUUCCAGGGUAAGUAAUUCUAUUCUAUAUAUUUAAUCAGAAUUAUAAAUUAAGGAUAUUUGAAGAUGUUUUUUCUAGCACUUCAAUGCAAUUUGUAAAGUUAGGACUGUUGAAAAUUUGCUUUCCUUGUUUAAUCAUCUGUGUUUACAGCCUAAUUACCAUUGGAAACUAUUUCUAAUAAUUUCAUUUUAGAAAGUCUUUGGAUUCUUUAUGGAAGCAAAGGAUUGAAGAUAGGAAACCUUUUUAGUAUAUAGUGGGAUGCGAGCAUUGGAAGGAUUUGGUUUUGAGUGUUGAAGAAGGGGUUUUGAUUCCUAAACCUGAGACUGAACUUAUUGUUGAUUUGGUAUAUGUUGUUUUGUCAAAGAAUGAUGAUUUGAAAAGAGGGGUUUGGGCUGAUUUAUGGACUGGAAGUGGUGCUCUUGCUAUAUGUAUUAGUAGGAUUUUAUGAAAUGGUGGAAAGGUUAUUGCAUCGGAUUAAAACCCCGUGGCUGUGGUGGAAAGAUUAAAUUCCCUUUGCUGCCCCAUUUUCUCGUCCGAGAAUUUUACCAAAGUUGAUUUUUUUGCUAAGGAACAAGGGGAGAGUAUGAUGGAUAAAGAUGAUAUUCUUAGUAGUGAUAGUGAGGAUGAAGAGGAUGAUGAUGACGAUGAUGCUGGGAAGAAUAGCAAGUCUGAUGCCAAAAUGAAGGGUUGGUUUUCAUCUAUGUUUCAGAGACGGCAAUGGAAGAAGCACUUGUUCGGAUUUUAACUCCUAGGCAUUAUAUUGGCAACAUAUUGAGGGAUGUUCAUGCUGCUAAAGAGCAAAGGAAACCAUAUAUUGUUGUAUUUGUUGGAGUUGGAGUUGGAAAUCUAUUGAUCUUGCUAAGGUUGCUUACUGGCUUCUGGAACACGAUGUUAAAGUCAUGAUAGCUGCUUGUGAUACAUUUCGAUUAGGAGCUGUUGAGCAGUUGCGGACACAUGCACGUAGACUUGAGGUGUAUAUUGAUUUUAAUGCUUAAAGAUUAUUAGAUAUAUUAAUAGUUAAUAAUCAGUUACCGGGAGUUGUUGUAGCAAGAGUUUAUUGAUUCUAUGAGGGUGUACUAUAUACUAAAUGACUUGUAUUAUUGAUUAUUCUCAGUUUCUAGGCUUUUGCAGUUAAGAGAUAGUAUUGAAAAACAAACCUUGCAUUUAUUUUAUGUAAAUUGCAAUAGAGGAUGACUUGCAAUUACAUAAUUUUCUUAUUAGUUAUGGAUUGUAAUGUAAGAAUGAUAGUGGAGGUUCUAUCCUUAUUUCUGUUAGUCAUUCCAAGAGACUCAAGUAAUUUGUUUU
Long non-coding RNA from Trifolium pratense (red clover), 1628 nucleotides. RefSeq lists it as uncharacterized. The record is from RefSeq and is a predicted model, not a curated record. Lineage: Eukaryota; Viridiplantae; Streptophyta; Magnoliopsida; Fabales; Fabaceae. The transcript has 4 exons.